CCUACGGGAGGCAGCAGUGAGGAAUAUUGGACAAUGGGCGAAAGCCUGAUCCAGCAAUGCCGCGUGAGUGAUGAAGGCCUAUUAGGUUGUAAAGCUCUUUUAGCAGGGAAGAUAAUGACGGUACCUGCAGAAAAAGCUCCGGCUAACUACGUGCCAGCAGCCGCGGUAAUACGUAGGGAGCUAGCGUUGUUCGGAUUUACUGGGCGUAAAGAGCGCGUAGGUGGUUAUACAAGUUAGAAGUGAAAUCCCGGAGCUUAACUUCGGAACUGCUUCUAAAACUGUAUAGCUUGAGUGUGGUAGGGGGUAAUAGAAUUCCUAGUGUAGAGGUGAAAUUCUUAGAUAUUAGGAGGAAUACCGAUGGCGAAGGCGAUUACCUGGGCCACUACUGACACUGAGGCGCGAAAGCGUGGGGAGCAAACAGGAUUAGAUACCCUGGUAGUCCACGCAGUAAAUGGUGAGUGCUAGAUGUCGGGAAUUUUAAUUCUCGGCCUCGCAGCUACGCAUAGUACACUCCGCCGUCGGGUAGGUACGGUCGCGAGAAGUUAAACUACAAUAGUAAGUUAGUACGGUUCGUUGUAGAGUUGCCGACGGCGACGACGAGGGAGGAGG
RNAcentral lists this ribosomal RNA (609 nucleotides) under uncultured bacterium. RNAcentral's name for it is "bacterial SSU rRNA". The stretch from base 1 to 517 matches the Rfam family "Bacterial small subunit ribosomal RNA", at positions 338 to 873 of the family's 1533-position model. The record is from RNAcentral.